GAUGAAGAACGUAGUGAAAUGCGAUAAGUAAUGUGAAUUGCAGAAUUCAGUGAAUCAUCGAAUCUUUGAACGCACAUUGCGCCCCUCGGUAUUCCGAGGGGCAUGCCUGUUCGAGCGUCAUUAUAACCCUUCAAGCUCAGCUUGGUGUUGGGGCCUGCUGUAACUGGUAGCCCUUAAAAUCAGUGGCAGUGCUAUUAGGCUCUAAGCGUAGUAAUUCUUCUCGCUAUAGUGUGUAGUGAGCGCUUGCCAGAACCCCAAACUUUUAUAUGAUUGACCUCGGAUCAGGUAGGGAUACCCGCUGAACUUAAGCAUAUCAAUAAGCGGAGGA
This 328-nucleotide unclassified non-coding RNA is filed under the name soil metagenome. Its description in RNAcentral is "partial contains 5.8S ribosomal RNA, internal transcribed spacer 2, and large subunit ribosomal RNA". The stretch from base 1 to 120 matches the Rfam family "5.8S ribosomal RNA", at positions 35 to 154 of the family's 154-position model. The record is from RNAcentral.